CUACGAUCCGUAACUGGUCUGAGAGGAUGAUCAGUCACACUGGAACUGAGACACGGUCAGACUCCUACGGGAGGCAGCAGUGGGGAAUAUUGGACAAUGGGCGAAAGCCUGAUCCAGCCAUGCCGCGUGUGUGAAGAAGGUCUUCGGAUUGUAAAGCACUUUAAGUUGGGAGGAAGGGCAGUUACCUAAUACGUGAUUGUCUUGACGUUACCGACAGAAUAAGCACCGGCUAACUCUGUGCCAGCAGCCGCGGUAAUACAGAGGGUGCAAGCGUUAAUCGGAAUUCUUGGGCGUAAAGCGCGCGUAGGUGGUUUGUUAAGUUGAAUGUGAAAUCCCCGGGCUCAACCUGGGAACUGCA
This 358-nucleotide ribosomal RNA is filed under the name uncultured bacterium. RNAcentral describes it as "bacterial SSU rRNA". It matches the Rfam family "Bacterial small subunit ribosomal RNA", at positions 274 to 625 of the family's 1533-position model. The record is from RNAcentral.